Molecule: long non-coding RNA, 5996 nt
Filed under: Sus scrofa (pig)
Lineage: Eukaryota; Metazoa; Chordata; Mammalia; Artiodactyla; Suidae
Description: lncRNA (ENSSSCG00000050100.1, ENSSSCG00035044269.1, ENSSSCG00045018122.1, ENSSSCG00065022847.1)
Source: RNAcentral
UUCUGGGUGUUUCUGUGAGGAUGUUUUUGGAUCAGAUUAACAUUUAAAUUGGUGGACUUUGAGUAAAGCUAGAUUGCACUACAAAAUGUGGGUAGGCCUGAUCCAGUGACAUUGGCUCUCCUGGAGUUCUGGCCUGCUGGCCCACUGGCUCAUCCAGCAGAGUUCGGAUUUGCCAGCCUUCAUAAUUAUGUGAAACAAUUCCUUAUAAUCAAUUAAUUGAUCCUAUUGAUUUGUUUUAUUUGGAAAACACUGAUUAAUACAGUAGCUAAAUGCUACAGUGGAUCUAGGAAUGCAAAUAGAAAGUCAGUCUACUAAAACAUGGCUUGAUCUUUUUAACAGGAAAAACACUGGAUCUGGUGUCCAGAAAUCUGACUAAAGUCACUUCAGAGAGAGUCACAGCCUCUUCUCCACUUUCCAGAUCUAAACCACUUGUCUGAUCCAGGGCUUCUUGAUUGAAGGACAUGCUGAGUUCCCUUAACUCCCUUAACUGUCACAAGUUGAUGCUAUAGACUUCCUCCACAGCUUCUCCAGAGACCUGCAGUGACUUUGUAUUACAAAACAAGAAAAUCCUAAGAUCUUUUAGGGAUUAACUAAUAGGCACUGGCCCUGAACUGAUGCUAAUUCCUGGGACCCUAAAAUACUACUAUGGCCUACCAGUUAAAGUGAGAGCUUGUGGUGGUCAGGUAAUGAAUGGUGUGUUGGCCCAAGCUGAAGUUAAAGGAGCCCAGUAGGUCUGUGAAUCCAGUAGUUAUAUCUAUAGUUCUUGAAUGUUUAAUAAGAAUAGACAUAAUCUAUUCCUGGCAGAAUCCCCAGAUUUGUUUGCUGAUCCAUGGAAUGAGAGCUAUUACGGUAAAACAGGCCAAGUUAGAAGUCCCUGAAAGUUCCCUUCCCUACCAGGGUAGUAAAUUAAAAGCAAUACCACAUUCCUAGAGGAAAUUACAGACAUUAAUGUCACUAUUAUAGUGUUAAUAUCUAUCAUAUCCCCAUUUAAUUUCAUCUGCUUUUCCUGUGCAGAGUGUUGUUGGAUCUGGAGCAUGACUGUGGAUUGUUAUAAACUUAAUUAGGCAAUGACUCUCAUUGCAAGUACUGUUCUGGAUGUGGCAUCUCUAUGAGAGAGAAUCAGCAUAACCCAUGGUACCUCGUGUACCAUUAGUGAUCUGGCAAAUGCUUUUCUCAUCCCUCUAUAUCAAUUUACAGUGAACCCCAUAAGCAGGUUUUCACCUUGCAGAAACAAGAGAUUGCCUUCACAGACCUGCCUUGGGGCUACCUCAACUUAAUGUCUGUGAUAAUCUAAUCUGCAGAGAUCUUGAUCAUCUUGACAUUUUAUAGAGCAUCAAACUUGUCCACUUCACUAAUUACUUCACUGAUGAGAUCAUAUAAGAAGGUAGUAGCAAGUACUUUAGGUGCCUUGGUAAAAUUCUUGUUAGUCAGAGAGUGGGAGAUAAACCCCAUAAAAGUCCAGGGACUCAUCUACUUUGGUGAAGUUUCUGAUAGGCUAGUGGUCUGGAGCAGGUUGCAAUAGUCCAUUCCUUUUUUUGCAGUUUUGUCUAUUUUGAGGGAUAGAGCUCAGGCGGAUCUGGAAGACAUAAGCAAGUUGCCUGAGUAACUGGGCCAACUCCUCUGAGAGCUACUCCUGGUGCAAGGAGUAGCUUUUCCUCAAUCUGUAAUUUUGGCUGCCUGGGAAGUUCGUUAUGACUAGCUGAUUAUAAGGAUGAAGUUUAGGCUUGGUUUACAGUUUAUUCUGCCCAAUAUGCUAGUAUCAACCGGUUGCUACAAAAAUUCCUGCACUAUUACACCCCAAUCAGGUAUGUCUUUGAAAGAUCUUACUAAAGAGAAAUCUUUCCAGGGUUCAGAAUUUUGAGCACUACAUUUAGUUGCCUACUGUGUCUAAACUGAGCACUAUCCAGAAGUAUGGAUCUAAACUCUAGUAAUCAAGGGCAAUUAUUCAUGGUUUGAUGAAUGGUGAGGGUCUUGGAAAGUAAAGAUUUAGAAGACAAGUGACAAGAAGGUCUGGGGAUGAAAUAACAUGGAUGAACCUCUCACAAUGGGCAGAAGAUUGAAGAUGAUUUUGCUCUGUGUGAAUGCUCACCAAAGGACUCUGUUGAGUCAUGAGAAUGUACUUUGCAGACAUACAACUAUAGGGAACACAACCAGAGCUCCAGCUGCUGCCCUCUGAUGCUCACCACUGCUUCCCACGGGCUGCUCCUAGCAAAUGACUGAGAGUGGCAGGGAAACUAAGGCAGGCCUAUCCCUGGGAUAUUUGGGUCUCCUGUGACAGCUAGCUUUAGCCUGAGGACUUCCUGAUGGCCUUGCUGAACCUAAAUUAGUGAAGAGGAAGCUCUCAAUAAUCAAGACAACAAGAUGACGUACUUUGUAGCCUCUUUCUCCAGUCAUCCUAAUGAUUGCCCAUGGGCCCAUGGACAAGAAUGGCUAUGUGGGCAAGGAUGGAGCCAUUCUUCAACAUGGACUUCCCUCCAAGGCUGACCACCUGAGUGCUGGACCUGCCAACAGCGGAGAUCAGCACUUAGUCUCUAAUAUGGAAACUUGGUGGCAGGUUUAUUACAUUAGACCCCUUCUAUCAUGAAAGGGGCAGCUAUUUAUCCUCACUGAAAAAGACACAUAAUCUAGAUGUGGCUUUGUCCUUAGUACUUCUGCCAGCCUUAUUAAGUGUUAAGAUAUCCUGCAUGGUAACACAGCAUCUUAUCAAGCAGUAGCUAAGGAGUGUGUGUUAGUCGGCUUGGGCUGCCAUAAGAAAAUGAAAGAGACUGGGUGGCUUAACAACAGAAACUUCUCAGUUCUGGAGGCUCGUCAGUCUAAGAUCAAGGUGUGGCUUCCAGGAGGCCUCUUUUCAUGGCUUGUAGGGGGCUGCCAUCUUUCUGGGUGCUCACAUGAUCUCUUAUUUGUGCCCCAGAAAGAGAGAGGUCAAGCUUUUUAUAAAGCAUUGAUCCCAAUGGGCCAGGCUCCAACCCUUGUGACUUCAUCUAAACCUAAUUACCUCCCAAAGACCAUAUCUUCACAUAUCACACAUUGAGGGGUUAGGAUUUCACCAUAUGAAUUUGGGGGCAGACACAAACAUUUAGUUCAUAGCAGAGUGUGGAAGCAGACUGAUGCCUGUGGAAUUUAUUGGUCUUGUCAUGUACUUCAUCACUCAGAAGCACCUGGUCUAUUAGAAUUACAGGAUGAUCUACGUAAGACUCAGUUAACUUGCAACUAGAAGUUAACCUAAAAGAUAAGGUUCUGUCUUAUAGGACACAAUAUGUGCUUUGAAUUGGUAACCAAUGAAUAUGCUUUUCUUUUUUCCCCCCAAGCCAGAAUACAUUGAUCUUGGAAUCAAGUGGUGGGCACCUAAUAAUUCACACAUUCAGAAUUUUUGCUUCCCAUUGCUGUGACUGUGAUUCUGAUAUAUAGGAAGUCUUGGUUCCCAAGGGAGGAAUGCUUUCACCAAGGGACAUAAUAGUGUUUCUUCUGAAUUGGUAGUUGCGUCUGCUACUGACCAUUUUUAGCUUGUACUAUGAGGGUUAAUGUCGGUGGGCCCGAAAUUGCCUUGAUCGAGGCAUGGCAUGUCCUGAUAAGUAGUGUUGCUUUAUGACUGUGUGCCUGAGGAGCUUCAGGGUGGUGUGUAUCAGUUUGUCAUUACUGUUUAUUAUAACAGUGAGAUGGAUUAUUUAUACCUGGAGACUUCUGUACCCCUCAACCCUGCCAACUCCCCCCCAAAAAACCCCAAAACUUAGUUGUUGGGGCUAGUUUUUAGCCAACAGAAUAAUUAAUGGGACUGCUACGAAAUUUGAGAAGUGAGUAGAAACUUUUUGUCUCCUUAUUGUGGAGAAAAGGUAAGAUCAUCUUAUUUGUACAGAGGAUAGUUUCAUCUUAAGCACAAAGCUAUGUCUAUUGUAUAGAAAUUCAGUUAUGGAUAGAAGGAUGCUGAAUAGCCAAAGGGCAGGACUAGGCUAUCAUCUUCUAGCUUCAAACUCACCGUUCUAUACUUCCUGUAAUCUGCUUUGUCAUGCUGGGGCUGGAACCCCACAAAGUACAUUUCUUUAUCACUUAGUUUUCUCUUAGGCUCUGCAAAUAAGGGAUACAGAGACAUGGUGGAGAUCUACAGGAAGGACCAGGGACUCGAUCCUUCCUCUUUUGCUUUCUGCUGCUAUUUCCCUGGCAGUGAGAGUUAGUCCAGUAGUAUCAGUUUUCAGUUUUUUCACACCUCCAGAGCCAGCCUCAUCAUGCAUGGUCAGAGAUGGCAGCACCAGUAGGCUGGCACCCAUCUUCAGACUUUUGAGCUCUUAAGACAAUAAUACCGGUCAGGCAAGGGCUGUUUUUAUUUUUUAUUUUUUUGUCUUUUGUAUUUUUAGGGCUGCACCCUCGGCAUAUGAAGGUUCCUAGGCUAGGGGUCUAAUUGGAACUGUAGCCGCCGGCCUACGCCACAGCAAUGCCAGAUCUGAGCCUCAUCUGUGACCUACACCACAGCUCACAGCGACACCGGAUCAUUAGCCCACUGAGUGAGGCCAGGGAUCGAACCCGAAACCUCAUGGUUCCUAGUGGGAUUCGUUAACCACUGAGCCAUGAUGAGAACUCCUGUUUAGAUAUUAAAGCCAAGCUUACACUAUUUUGAUAUAAUUUAGUGCUAGAAAGACUCUCUACCAUAAAUAUCCUAUUAAAAAAAAUGAGAUAUACCUCACAUAAAGUUCACCCUUUCAAAGCUUGUGUCUACUUGGUUUUGAUUAUCAUUGGAUCUUGUGUGAAAAUGUUGACCUAUCCACCCACUAAAAAUGGCUUUUGGUGGCUUAUCAAAGCAGCCAAGAUGUCAACCCACAUGUUAAGUCAGUUUUAGGUAAAAUACCCUUCAUAUCUUCUCUUUCUUACUCUGUUUCCCAGAUUUCCUGCAGUCUGGUAGUAAUUGGCUCCAAGUUGUCACAAGUUUUGUGCCAGCAGAGGCUCAGGUGGGCAUUUUUAAUUUGAGCUAUUAAUCCCUUUUCUAGAGAUGUUUAAAAUCAGAUAUUUGGCAACAUCUGUAAUGAGAGGGUUUGCUUUCAACCAGUCAUAUGCUGACAGUGACAUCUACUGGUCAUAAAGGUUUCUUUAUAUUGUCUUGAUGCCUUUUUGCAGUUUAUCAGUGAUCUUAAUUAUACUGUGAAAUGUAAGAAAAACAAUUAUAUCAUCCUUGGGAGCUAAAUAAACCAAAACAUGUGCCAGUAUAUGUACCACUGUGGGGUAUUUUUAAAACUAAAAAAUAAAAUCUAAAUUUCUUCUUCAUUUGAGAAGAUACUGUGAUCUCUUUCAUUUGAACCGUUGGAGAAUUUGAAAAAUGAAUUAAAAACUCAGUCAUUUCCUUUAAAGUACCUUUUGGGGUUUUUUUUUCAAAGCAGAACUUAGUGAAUUUAGUCCUAGAAAAUUCUAGUGGACCUAAUGAAAGACUGGCUAUUAAAGGUGAUUUGCUUCUGGCAUUUCAUCCUGAUCUUGUUAGGUCCCAGAUUUCAUGCAUGCCCUUGCUCCCAUCCCUACUUCCUUCCUAUCUGUAGCUAUGCAUACGUAUUAAACUUCAUAAUACUCUUCCAGAUUUGUUCCUGUAUUAGCUUUGGAAACUUCCCCCACUGCUCUUGAUAUUAGAUUAUACUAGGAAAAAUUAGGAGUUUCAUUUUUCUAACUAUAUUUUUAAAGAAGGCAUGUAUUUAUAUUUAUUGAUAAAGCAUUUUGAAGAGUAGUGAUAAAAUUUAAUUUUGUGUAGGAAAUAUAAUCUUCAAUUUGUGUACUUAGGUGGCAUGUAAAUUUGAUAGUCGGGCUCCAUUUCCCUUCAAGCUUAAAAAAAAAUGUCAAGGAGUUCCCGUUGUGGUGUAGCAGAAACGAACCUGAGUAGUAUCCAUGAGGAUGUGGGUUCCAUCCCUGGCCUCACUCAGUGGGUUAAGGAUGCAGUGUUGCCGUAAGCUGUGGUGUAGGUCACAGAUGCGGCUCGGAUCCCAAGUUGCUCUGGCUGUGGUGCGGGCCGGCAGCUGUAACUCUGA